Long non-coding RNA from Panthera uncia (snow leopard), 1425 nucleotides. RefSeq lists it as uncharacterized. The transcript is spliced from 3 exons. NCBI's taxonomy places the organism in Eukaryota, Metazoa, Chordata, Mammalia, Carnivora, Felidae. The record is from RefSeq and is a predicted model, not a curated record.
GAAUCUGAGGCAGGUUCCAGGCUCUGAGCUGUCAGCACAGAGCCCCACGUGGGUCCUGAACUCAUGAGCUAUGAGGUCAUGACCUGAGCUAAAGUCGGCCGCCCAACCAACUGAGCCACCCACACACCCCUAUGACUGCUAUUUUAAACAGACUAUUCUCGUCUGAUUGCUGAGGCUAGGACUUCCAACACAAUGUUGAACAACAGUGGUGAGAGUGGACAUCCCUGUUCUGUUUCUGACCUUAUGGGGAAAGCUCUCAGCUUUUCCCCAUGGAAGAUGAUACCAGCUGUGGAUCUUUCAUAUAUGGCCUUUAUGAUCUUGAGGGUUGUCAGUCUGUCCCCUUGUUGACACAACUGCAAACUGAAAAAAGGUGAAUUGCAUGCCAUCAAGAAGCCACGCUUCUGUUGGGAAGAGAGAACAAGGUAAUGGCUGGAUCUGCAGCAGACAUUUUGUGACCACAAGACAAGCAUAGAUAAGAAAAUGAACAUUCUGAGAUGACAAAGCAGAAAGGAAAAAAAGAUCCUAAUGGCAUCCUUGAGCAAGGGAACCAACACUACCAUCCAGGAACUCUGGAUAUCUUGUUUUAUAAAUAAAAUACAUCCCAAUGUUUAAGCGGUUUUUUAUGAACAUAUUCUUUUUUGCAGCCAAAUAUAUUCCUGAUACACCACGGGUUUUCCCCAAUUAGAUUUUCCUUACCAUCUGACCACACUCUUGCCUUGUUUUUCUCUGGCACUUGGUUUGACAGAGAAGUUCAACCUAACAUCCUGAAAACAGCCUGCCCCAAAUCUCUAUCCGUUUCCUUGCCAAUUGUAAUUACUACAUUCUUUUGCCUACUGCUUGCCUCCUGCUUCUGUCCUAGCAGCCAAUCUCAUCCCCCUUACCCUCUGCCUACUCCACAAGUUUGGGUAUGCUUAAAUGAUCCCAGCUUCAUAUUAUCUCCACCUCCCACACAGCUCUCAUCACACAAAAAGGUACUCCUUUCCAAUGUCUACCACCAUAGCCCCACCUUGGAACCUAAUUCAACCCUAUACCAUGACUUAUCUCACUUCAUCAAUAUUUACUGAGCCCAUGCUGCACGUACAUGUUGUGAACAUAAAAUGUACUCAUUAAAUGCGUGGACACUAAAGGUAGAGCAACUGGGUUCCAAUCCUACGACACCAGACAGUUAUUUAAACUCUCAAAGCAUCAAUUCCCCAUCUGUAAAGUAGGGACAAUAAUAUCAGAUACAUUCCUUAGGAUUUUCUGAGAAUUAAGUGAGCCCAUUCAUGUAAAAGUACUUAGCACAGUGUGUGACUCAUCACAAGAACUCAGCACACAAUUUAUGGACCAUGGCAUUUGCAAAGUUGUGUAACCUAGACUUCUGCAAUAAGGAACUUAAUAUCCAUAUGGGGGAAGUGCUAGGAAGCUAGUUAGCAAAUCUCAAUA